AAAAAGUAGGGUAUUUAAGUAAAAAAUUCAGACUGAUUUCAUGAAUGAACUAAAAUAGAGAGAUCAAAACUAUAAUUUAGCCUAAUUUAUAUUAAUUUAACUCAACUAACGUAUGCCAAAUAUUCAGAUUUCAUGAAUGAAUUAUAAUACAUUAAUCAUAAUGUGUCACAUAAUAAUACAUGAAUAUUUUUCAUUAAUUAAUUAAUCAUUUUUAAAAACGGUCCUUCAAAA
This 231-nucleotide long non-coding RNA is filed under the name Lathyrus oleraceus (garden pea). Its description in RNAcentral is "Pisum sativum (pea) long non-coding RNA (PSAT_LNC018715)". Lineage: Eukaryota; Viridiplantae; Streptophyta; Magnoliopsida; Fabales; Fabaceae. The record is from RNAcentral.